CAGACAGGCCUGUGAAUUGGUGGUUCUGGUCCUGGGGAUGCUGAGCUGGAGGAGAUGCACACUGCGGGGAGCAGGGUGGCCUCCCUGCCCUGACUUGAGGCUGCCAGUGGGUCACCUGUUUAUAUUACAACUGCACGUGCUAGAAAUUGACCUUUAGAAGUGAGAUUUUCCCUUGCUCACCAGAGCACCAAAGGUCCCUGACUUUAGACACUUCUACAGAGGUUUGUGGCUCCGUCGGUGUCAGCUGGACUUCUCUUUGCAAGAGGCACUUCGCAACCUUCAGGUAAUCUAAACAGCUCCCAGGAAAAUUUAGCUUCAGGCGGGGCUGAGUGUCUGCCCGAGGCAGCUCGGGGCUAUUUCUAGCCCUUGCAAAA
RNAcentral lists this long non-coding RNA (374 nucleotides) under Numida meleagris (helmeted guineafowl). RNAcentral describes it as "lncRNA (ENSNMEG00000005600.1)". Lineage: Eukaryota; Metazoa; Chordata; Aves; Galliformes; Numididae. The record is from RNAcentral.